Molecule: non-coding RNA, 71 nt
Organism: Phytophthora nicotianae INRA-310
Lineage: Eukaryota; Oomycota; Peronosporomycetes; Peronosporales; Peronosporaceae
Source: the annotation of a RefSeq genome assembly
GACAACGUAGCUCAAUGGAUAGAGCGCAGGACAAUCCCCUUGGAAUGCUGGUUCAAUUUCAGCCGUUGUUA